CCUUUUACAGAGGGAUAGCCCAGAGAAAUUUGGAUUAAUACCUCAUAGUAUAGUACACUCGCAUGAUUGAACUAUUAAAGUCACCACGGUAAAAGAUGAGCAUGCCUCCCAUUAGCUAGUUGGUAAGGUAACCGCUUACCAGGGCUACGAUGGGUAGGGGUCCUGAGAGGGAGAUCCCCCACACUGGUACUGAGACACAGACCAGACUCCCACGGGAGGCAGCAGAGAGGAAUAUUGGUCAAUGGGCGCACGUCUGAACCAGCUGUGCCGCGCGUAAGAUGACCGUCCUAUGGAUUGAACACCGCUUGUGUACGGGAAGAAACCCUCCUACGUGUAGGAGCUUGACGGC
This 349-nucleotide ribosomal RNA is filed under the name uncultured bacterium. RNAcentral's name for it is "bacterial SSU rRNA". It matches the Rfam family "Bacterial small subunit ribosomal RNA", at positions 129 to 476 of the family's 1533-position model. The record is from RNAcentral.